UACGGAGGAUGCGAGCGUUAUCCGGAUUUAUUGGGUUUAAAGGGUGCGCAGGCGGCGUGUCAAGCAAGCGGUAAAAUAGCGGGGCUCAACCCCGUCGAGCCGUUUAAACUGGCGCGCUUGAGUUCAGGCGAGGUAGGCGGAAUUCGUGGUGUAGCGGUGAAAUGCAUAGAUAUCACGAAGAACUCCGAUUGCGAAGGCAGCUUACCAGUCUGCGACUGACGCUCAGGCACGAAAGUGUGGGUAUCGAACAGG
Molecule: ribosomal RNA, 252 nt
Filed under: uncultured bacterium
Lineage: Bacteria
Description: partial 16S ribosomal RNA
Rfam family: Bacterial small subunit ribosomal RNA
Source: RNAcentral